RNAcentral lists this ribosomal RNA (1346 nucleotides) under uncultured bacterium. RNAcentral's name for it is "partial 16S ribosomal RNA". It matches the Rfam family "Bacterial small subunit ribosomal RNA", at positions 28 to 1381 of the family's 1533-position model. The record is from RNAcentral.
GACGAACGCUGGCGGCGUGCUUAACACAUGCAAGUCGAACGGAAAGGCCCUGCUUUUGUGGGGUGCUCGAGUGGCGAACGGGUGAGUAACACGUGAGUAACCUGCCCUUGACUUUGGGAUAACUUCAGGAAACUGGGGCUAAUACCGGAUAGGAGCUCCUGCUGCAUGGUGGGGGUUGGAAAGUUUCGGCGGUUGGGGAUGGACUCGCGGCUUAUCAGCUUGUUGGUGGGGUAGUGGCUUACCAAGGCUUUGACGGGUAGCCGGCCUGAGAGGGUGACCGGCCACAUUGGGACUGAGAUACGGCCCAGACUCCUACGGGAGGCAGCAGUGGGGAAUAUUGCACAAUGGGCGGAAGCAUGAUGCAGCAACGCCGCGUGCGGGAUGACGGCCUUCGGGUUGUAAACCGCUUUCGCCUGUGACGAAGCGUGAGUGACGGUAAUGGGUAAAGAAGCACCGGCUAACUACGUGCCAGCAGCCGCGGUGAUACGUAGGGUGCGAGCGUUGUCCGGAUUUAUUGGGCGUAAAGGGCUCGUAGGUGGUUGAUCGCGUCGGAAGUGUAAUCUUGGGGCUUAACCCUGAGCGUGCUUUCGAUACGGGUUGACUUGAGGAAGGUAGGGGAGAAUGGAAUUCCUGGUGGAGCGGUGGAAUGCGCAGAUAUCAGGAGGAACACCAGUGGCGAAGGCGGUUCUCUGGGCCUUUCCUGACGCUGAGGAGCGAAAGCGUGGGGAGCGAACAGGCUUAGAUACCCUGGUAGUCCACGCUGUAAACGGUGGGUACUAGGUGUGGGGUCCAUUCCACGGGUUCCGUGCCGUAGCUAACGCUUUAAGUACCCCGCCUGGGGAGUACGGCCGCAAGGCUAAAACUCAAAGGAAUUGACGGGGCCCCGCACAAGCGGCGGAGCAUGCGGAUUAAUUCGAUGCAACGCGUAGAACCUUACCUGGGUUUGACAUGGAUCGGGAGUGCUCAGAGAUGGGUGUGCCUCUUUUGGGGUCGGUUCACAGGUGGUGCAUGGCUGUCGUCAGCUCGUGUCGUGAGAUGUUGGGUUAAGUCCCGCAACGAGCGCAACCCUUGUUCACUGUUGCCAGCACGUUAUGGUGGGGACUCAGUGGAGACCGCCGGGGUCAACUCGGAGGAAGGUGGGGAUGACGUCAAGUCAUCAUGCCCCUUAUGUCCAGGGCUUCACGCAUGCUACAAUGGCUGGUACAGAGAGUGGCGAGCCUGUGAGGGUGAGCGAAUCUCGGAAAGCCGGUCUCAGUUCGGAUUGGGGUCUGCAACUCGACCUCAUGAAGUCGGAGUCGCUAGUAAUCGCAGAUCAGCAACGCUGCGGUGAAUACGUUCCCGGGGCU